Molecule: non-coding RNA, 74 nt
Organism: Trichomycterus rosablanca
Lineage: Eukaryota; Metazoa; Chordata; Actinopteri; Siluriformes; Trichomycteridae
Source: the annotation of a RefSeq genome assembly
GGCAGGUGUAGCCUAGUGGUUAAGGUACUGGACUAGCAAUCGAAAGAUCGCUGGUUCAAGCCCAACCACUGCCA